This 253-nucleotide ribosomal RNA is filed under the name uncultured bacterium. RNAcentral's name for it is "partial 16S ribosomal RNA". It matches the Rfam family "Bacterial small subunit ribosomal RNA", at positions 524 to 776 of the family's 1533-position model. The record is from RNAcentral.
UACGAAGGGGGCUAGCGUUGCUCGGAAUCACUGGGCGUAAAGCGCAUGUAGGCGGAUUGUUAAGUCAGGGGUGAAAGCCUGGAGCUCAACUCCAGAACUGCCCUUGAUACUGGCAAUCUCGAGUCCGGAAGAGGUAAGUGGAACUCCGAGUGUAGAGGUGAAAUUCGUAGAUAUUCGGAAGAACACCAGUGGCGAAGGCGGCUUACUGGUCCGGUACUGACGCUGAGGUGCGAAAGCGUGGGGAGCAAACAGG